GCGCCUAUAGCUCAACUGGAUAGAGUGUCUGACUACGAAUCAGAAGGUUGGGGGUUCGAGUCCUCCUAGGCGCACCA
This 77-nucleotide transfer RNA is filed under the name Thermohalobacter berrensis. Its description in RNAcentral is "tRNA-Arg". It matches the Rfam family "tRNA". Rfam says of the family: Transfer RNA (tRNA) molecules are approximately 80 nucleotides in length. Their secondary structure includes four short double-helical elements and three loops (D, anti-codon, and T loops). Lineage: Bacteria; Bacillati; Bacillota; Tissierellia; Tissierellales; Thermohalobacteraceae. The record is from RNAcentral.